AAGACCUUGCGCUUUUGGAGCGGCCGAUGCCUGAUUAGCUAGUUGGUGGGGUAAUGGCCUACCAAAGCUUCGAUCAGUAGCUGAUCUGAGAGGACGGCCAGCCACACUGGGACUGAGACACGGCCCAGACUCCUACGGGAGGCAGCAGUGGGGAAUUUUGGACAAUGGGCGCAAGCCUGAUCCAGCCAUGCCGCGUGAGUGAAGAAGGCCUUCGGGUUGUAAAGCUCUUUCAGCCGGGAAGAAAAGGUUGCGAUUAAUAAUCGCAAUUUAUGACGGUACCGGAAGAAGAAGCACCGGCUAACUACGUGCCAGCAGCCGCGGUAAUACGUAGGGUGCGAGCGUUAAUCGGAAUUACUGGGCGUAAAGGGUGCGCAGGCGGUUUUGUAAGUCAGAUGUGAAAUCCCCGGGCUUAACCUGGGAACU
RNAcentral lists this ribosomal RNA (423 nucleotides) under uncultured bacterium. RNAcentral's name for it is "bacterial SSU rRNA". It matches the Rfam family "Bacterial small subunit ribosomal RNA", at positions 207 to 622 of the family's 1533-position model. The record is from RNAcentral.